CCUACGGGAGGCAGCAGUGGGGGAUAUUGCACAAUGGGGGAAACCCUGAUGCAGCGACGCCGCGUGGGUGAAGAAGCGCCUCGGCGCGUAAAGCUCUGUCAGCAGGGAAGAAAAUGACGGUACCUGAAGAAGAAGCCCCGGCUAACUACGUUCCAGCAGCCGCGGUAAUACGUAGGGGGCAAGCGUUAUCCGGAUUUACUGGGUGUAAAGGGGGCGCAGACGGCGAGGCAAGCCAGGAGUGAAAGCCCGGGGCCCAACCUCGAGACUGCUAUUGGAACUGCGUGGCUAGAGUGCAGGAGGGGCAGGCGGAAUUCCUGGUGUAGCGGUGAAAUGCGUAGAUAUCAGGAGGAACACCGGUGGCGAAGGCGGCCUGCUGGACUGCAACUGACGUUGAGGCCCGAAAGCGUGGGGAGCAAACAGGAUUAGAUACCCGUGUAGUC
Molecule: ribosomal RNA, 440 nt
Filed under: uncultured bacterium
Lineage: Bacteria
Description: partial 16S ribosomal RNA
Rfam family: Bacterial small subunit ribosomal RNA
Source: RNAcentral